RNAcentral lists this unclassified non-coding RNA (1437 nucleotides) under Hevea brasiliensis (rubber tree). The record is from RNAcentral. Lineage: Eukaryota; Viridiplantae; Streptophyta; Magnoliopsida; Malpighiales; Euphorbiaceae.
AUUCUCUCUCUCCUUACGCUCUUUCCUUUUGAGGCUUGUGAUUCGCUGGUUGGAUCAUGGUAGCUUAUGGCUGGGAUUGGAAUUUACUAUUGGCUUGCAAUGAAUUAGUUGUAUUUUGCAACAGUAUAAACUUUGGAUAGAAACAUUGGGAAGAAUCAUCACAAGAAGUGAGGGGCAUUGGCAGAUGUAGCAUGGGGGCAGUGUGGCAACUACCCCCCACUGGCUUUUGAAAAUCUUGUGCAGAGUUUGUGUAUUUAUAAAAUUGCUCCUACUCAAUUACUUUUUGCCUCCACUCAAUUGCCUACCUUGCUCCUUGUUAACUAAAUGUUAAAAGGUCACAUUUGUAAUUUUAUAUAAAUCUUUAGGUUUUCUGCUAUAAAUGUUUGAUAGUAUAGAUAAUGAGAAAAUUGUGCAAUGAUUUCAAGAUAUGAAAACACAUCGUGAACAAUUGUAAUUUUUAUAAUAAUAUUUAUUGAUUUAUUCUAAAUUUUAUUUAUAUAAAUAUAUAUGUUUUGUGUACGUCACCCCCACGGACAAAAUUUUCUGGAUUUGCCACUAGUGAGGGACAUUAGCAAAGAUGGUUUGUACGACUUAAGAAUCACAAUUGGCCAUAAGAUCAAUAGAUCAUGAAAUGUUUGUAGGAAACUUUCCAUUUUAUUUACCCUUAUAAUAUUGGAAUUAUCAAUAUAUUACGAUUAGCAUUUAGAAGCAAUCUACAAUUAUUUUCACCAGCUUAGGUGGGACAGGCGUAGUUGGAGAUGCAAACACUAAUUAUAUAGGCUGGAAAUAUCUAAAAUUUGACUGGAUUUUGGCUAUGCUGAAAUGCUCUUGAGAUAAAUGCUUAUAGAUGCACAUGGAUGUAACUAAGAAUAUAAUGUAGAUAUCUAAUGGAAAUGCUAUGCCAUUUCUCAGAUUCAAGUAUGUGUUUGGAGUUUUUGUGGAAGUCAUCAUUCCUUGCGUUUGGUAAGUCCUCAUCCAGGUAUCCAUGUUUGUUCUAGGCAUUUGAUUGUGUUCAACAUGGGUACACUAGGAUAAAGCAGCAAAUGGAAGUAACAAAAUGUUACAGACGUACAGUUCCAAUAAAUAUACAUGGUGUGGUUCUUAACAGAACAAAGCUCUCAAGAUGGUGGAUUGCUACCUUGUAAGAAGUGUCAUACCUAUUUCUACAUUGCAAAGGAAUGUUUACUAAAGUCGUCCUUACUCAUUAAUAUGUUUUGGGUAAUUUAUUAUUUAAUUCCUAAGUUUUGUAACACUUUUGUCCCUCCAUUUUGGAAAAUAGGUUAAAAUGUUCCUAAAGUUUAGUUUUUUUGUGUACACUUUAGUCACUUUGUCCAUUUCUAAUCGAUUUGGCCAUUAGUCAAGGGACUAAAAUGAUCUAAUGCUAGAGAGUAACAUAUAAUUUCUACUUUAUCCUCAGCUCUCUCUCUCUCUCUCUCU